CCUACGGGAGGCAGCAGUGAGGAAUAUUGGUCAAUGGGCGCAAGCCUGAACCAGCCAAGUCGCGUGAGGGAUGACGGUCCUAUGGAUUGUAAACCUCUUUUGUCGGGGAGCAAGGCCCGCCACGUGUGGCGGGAAGGAGAGUACCCGAAGAAAAAGCAUCGGCUAACUCCGUGCCAGCAGCCGCGGUAAUACGGAGGAUGCGAGCGUUAUCCGGAUUUAUUGGGUUUAAAGGGUGCGUAGGCGGAAUAUCAAGUCAGCGGUAAAAAUUCGGGGCUCAACCCCGUCGUGCCGUUGAAACUGAUGUUCUUGAGUGGGCGAGAAGUAUGCGGAAUGCGUGGUGUAGCGGUGAAAUGCUUAGAUAUCACGAAGAACUCCGAUUGCGAAGGCAGCUCACUGGACUGCAACUGACACUGAGGCUCGAAAGUGUGGGUAUCAAACAGGAUUAGAUACCCGUGUAGUC
RNAcentral lists this ribosomal RNA (460 nucleotides) under uncultured bacterium. RNAcentral describes it as "partial 16S ribosomal RNA". It matches the Rfam family "Bacterial small subunit ribosomal RNA", at positions 338 to 795 of the family's 1533-position model. The record is from RNAcentral.